Zea mays is the source of this 155-nucleotide long non-coding RNA. RefSeq lists it as uncharacterized. The record is from RefSeq and is a predicted model, not a curated record. Lineage: Eukaryota; Viridiplantae; Streptophyta; Magnoliopsida; Poales; Poaceae. The transcript is spliced from 3 exons.
CUUAGGAGCAAGCGAGUCUCGCCCUGAUCUGAUGCUAACAGGACAUAAGGAAAAUGCGGAAUUUGCGCUUGCCAUGUGUCCAGCAGAACCAUAUGUCCUAUCAGGAGGAAAGGACAAAUCUAUUGUCUUGUGGAGCAUCCAAGACCAUAUAUCUA